UCUCAGGGCUGGGACCUGCUGGAAUGAGGAAGCGCUGCCCGUGGCCCCGACUGUGUGGUCAGAAAUAAGAGCAGUCUCAGUUAUUUAUGGCUCUCUCAACAGUGAUUCCCCACUGUGCCAGUCAUAAGCUGAGGAAAAAGCUUCUGUGGCUGGUUCUUAGAAUUCACAGAAGGAACCGAUCCGUUUCUUUCCCUCAGCAGUGCUGUCUGCCAGGGCAGUUGAAAGGUGUGCAAAGAUGUCUUAGGAAUUCAUUUUGGAAAAACAGGUCUUCAGAAUCAGUAGCGUUCUGACCUGUCGGGGCCUCAGAAGAGGCCAACAGCUUCCCGAGGGCUGGUGUCGGCCACUAGGGGUUGUCUUGGUGCCAGACAUGUUCUUCCAGCACCUGAGCGCCUGCUACUGUAGGUGCUGCCCAGAGGGACAGAAAUGAACAGGACAGAGUUCUGGUUUUGGGGGCCCACUGUCCCCUGGAGAUUAACAGGUAUGACUCAGCCGUUCUUCUACUGCGUGUUCCCAAAGGAAAGGAAUCACUGGCUGGUAACGAUAUCAACUUUUAAAAGGAGGCACGGACAUUGCAAUAGUGCAUGAGCCUGUCAGGAGCCUCACAGGGAAAUGGAAACACCAGAUUGGACGAGGACAGGAAACUGCACGAGGCCGGGCCUGGGCUCCAGUGAGCGACUGCCGGGAGCAGAGGCCGGCUGACAAGGUGGGCUUCGUUUCGGCCCUCCGUGGUAAGAACACUGCUCUCUUUGUCCUACCACAGGGAAGGGACCCCUAGCAGCUUCUGGGGAACAGCUAUGCGGGAAGGGAGGCGAGAGAAGAAGGGAAAAAGAAAAAAAGAAAAGUGAGAGACAGCAGCUGAGGCGGGGAGGCUCGGAGAGGCGCUUCUGGCUCGGAGCGGGGGCCUGCGGCCACAGGGCGGAGACUCGGGCUGACGGAAGCCCAGGACCCGAGGCUGAGGCCGUCGGCCGCGAGACAGGGCUCAGGUGGCCCGGAGCCGCGAGCCCGCCAGGCCCCAGCACGGCGCCCUCCC
Heterocephalus glaber (naked mole-rat) is the source of this 1030-nucleotide non-coding RNA. Lineage: Eukaryota; Metazoa; Chordata; Mammalia; Rodentia; Bathyergidae. The record is from RefSeq and is a predicted model, not a curated record.